Molecule: ribosomal RNA, 492 nt
Filed under: uncultured bacterium
Lineage: Bacteria
Description: partial 16S ribosomal RNA
Rfam family: Bacterial small subunit ribosomal RNA
Source: RNAcentral
AGUGAACGCUGGCGGUAGGCCUAACACAUGCAAGUCGAACGGCAGCACAGUAAGAGCUUGCUCUUACGGGUGGCGAGUGGCGGAAGGGGGAGGAAUACAUCGGAAUCUACUUUUUCGUGGGGGAUAACGUAGGGAAACUUACGCUAAUACCGCAUAAGACCUACGAGUGAAAGCAGCGGAUCUUCGGACCUUGCGCGAUUGAAUGAGACGAUGGCGGAUUAGCUAGUUGGCGGGGUAAAGGCCCACCAAGGCGACGAUCCGUAGCUGGUCUGAGAGGAUGAUCAGCCACACUGGAACUGAGACACGGUCCAGACUCCUACGGGAGGCAGCAGUGGGGAAUAUUGGACAAGGGGCGCAAGCCUGAUCCAGCCAUACCGCGUGGGUGAAGAAGGCCUUCGGGUUGUAAAGCCCUUUUUUUGGGAAAGAAAAGCAGCAGGUUAAUACCCCGCUGUUCUGACGGUACCCAAAGAAUAAGCACCGGCUAACUUCGUG